RNAcentral lists this unclassified non-coding RNA (429 nucleotides) under Kalymmatonema desertorum WJT9-NPBG6B. RNAcentral describes it as "16S-23S ribosomal RNA intergenic spacer". Lineage: Bacteria; Bacillati; Cyanobacteriota; Cyanophyceae; Nostocales; Scytonemataceae. The record is from RNAcentral.
UUUAGGGAGACCUACUUUUCAGUCAGCAGUGACCAGUAAACAGUGAGCAAAAAAACUGGUAACUGGUAACUGAUAACUGAACACUGAAAAGACAUCCCUAGGUCGGUCGAGGAAAGGUUGUUGGCUUUCAAACUAUGAUUGGUUCGAUCUAAGUCGCACUCAGACAAGCGAACAACAAAGUACGGUUGUGAGUAGGCAAACAGUCAAAGAGAUUGUUACACUCAAAAAUGGCGACUGCAAAUAUUGCUUUUUAGCAAUACGUAGCUCAAGAAAUAGAUCCAGCAAUAUUGCUUAAAACAGCAAGACUGCUGGGUGUGAACCAGCCAGAACCUUGAAAACUGCAUAGUAACGCGAGGCAGGUAGACACAGACAUACUAUGAUUGCAUGGAUGAAAGUGUUUGCUGAUAUAGAUAUCACCAAUUGUUGAGU